UACGGAGGGUGCAAGCGUUGUUCGGAAUUACUGGGCGUAAAGCGCGUGUAGGCGGUUUUUUAAGUCUGAUGUGAAAGCCCGGGGCUCAACCCCGGAAGUGCAUUGGAAACUGGAAGACUUGAAUACGGGAGAGGGAAGUGGAAUUUCGAGUGUAGGGGUGAAAUCCGUAGAUAUUCGAAGGAACACCAGAGGCGAAGGCGACUUCCUGGACCGAUAUUGACGCUGAGACGCGAAAGCGUGGGGAGCAAACAGG
This 253-nucleotide ribosomal RNA is filed under the name uncultured bacterium. RNAcentral describes it as "partial 16S ribosomal RNA". It matches the Rfam family "Bacterial small subunit ribosomal RNA", at positions 524 to 776 of the family's 1533-position model. The record is from RNAcentral.